Molecule: long non-coding RNA, 1640 nt
Organism: Physeter macrocephalus (sperm whale)
Lineage: Eukaryota; Metazoa; Chordata; Mammalia; Artiodactyla; Physeteridae
Exons: 3
Source: RefSeq, a predicted model, not a curated record
GGCUCUGAAGCCCUCUCCCUAGCCAAACGCAGUGAACCCUGAGUUCUCCGAGGUUGGGGACUGAGGCCAGCCCAGGACGGUGCUCCGGGUGGCUCUUGGCUGCUGGGAAACCAGCCCUGUUUUUGUUUGAACGUUUUGUAACGAUUAAGCAGAUCCCGGCGUCAGCCAGCCGAGGAGAGGCUCAAACAGGCAUAAAGUGCGACCCCAAGUGGCCACUGUGCGCAAAGGCGCACCGAAUCGCGGGGCCCGCAACUGGAAGUCUCGGCCGACGACUCGGACCCAGCUGGGUCUUCCCAACCCGCCCAACCCAAGCUGGCCCGGAACGCAGGCUGUGUGUGCACCGGAGCCCAAGACAGAUUGCCCUAGAGCCACGUACAGGUUCUCGGGUCGGUCCUCGGACUCAGCCGCGAGUUCCACGCUGAUCUGCCCCCAUGAAACUCCGCGCCCCGGCUCCGGGGAUCGGGGGGCGGAGGGGCGGGGAGGGGUGCUCGGCGGCGGCUCCCUGCUCGAGAAGAUCCUAGGCCGAGUUAGGCGGAUGGCCGAAAGCGGAAACGCCACAGCGAGGGGCCCCAGGGCUGUCAGAUGAGAAACCUCCCCCGAGCGCAGACGGGGACCCCUGAGCGCACCGCACUACGGCAUCCAGACAGUGCUUGGGAGCUGCGCACCUUCCGUAUCGGGUACAGGAUGGCCCUAAAUAAGAGCUCCCUAGACCCCGGCCCGGGCGCAGAAACCGGAUAGAUCGCAAAUUCGCUGUAGCCGGAGACCCGACCCGCCUCCCGCGUCGCCUUCCGCUCUUCGGCUUUGGGCGCGAGCAGCGAAAAGCAGGAGAAGCGCGCACCGGGUGAGUGUGUCCAGCCGCUGCUUGUGCGGGACCAGCACGACUGACGCAGCGCGUAGGGGUCAGGCGGGCCCACUAAUGCGGACGCAGCCAGAUUUUUUUUCAAGUGUUAGAAGGUUGAGGCAGAGGCGAUGCGUCUGAGCUCACCACCUUGGGAUUCUUCAGCUACCGAUGGUGAUCAAAGAGAUGUCCGAGCCACAGCGGAGCCUCGGGGCACCCCGUGUGGGAGUGGGUGAAAAAGUUAACUCCCUAAGGGAACGAAGGGUCCACUGCCAUUCGCCGGCUUCGAGGUUCGCCGCGCCGCUCCCGGCAGCCCCUGCCCAGCCCGCCCGCCCGCUAACCCGAGAGCGGCGCGCUCUCCCGUGCGCCUCCAAGUCUAGAGCGGCGCUCCCAGCAGCCGCGUUCAGCCCCGAGACCAAGGACCAACUCAGGAGAAAUCUGGAUGAUCUGAGUGAUUCCAUCCCACCGGUCUCCCCUCUUCCCUUCUCCUCUCUCUGGAUGUUCUUCAGGGGCCCAGGGGUCCAGCUUCCCACCACAUCCUCAUCACAGCUUGGGGAGCAAGCUUCUGAGAACAGGGGAAGUGGGUGGCACCAUCCCACUGCUGGAAACUGCGGUCCAGGCCUGAUGGAGGGAAUAAUGUUUGACUGCAUCUGAGCCCAGGCUCAUUUCAGCCAGGAAUUUCUAUGGUUACUCGAUCUCUUUCUUCCCUUUCUUCUUUUAAAAAUGAAUUAUACAAGAUAGACAAGCCUACUUUCUCAUUGUAACGAAAUGCAACAAUGUAGUUUUAACAGAUAUGUCUAGA